UGACAACCUGGUUGAUCCUGCCAGUAGUCAUAUGCUUGUCUCAAAGAUUAAGCCAUGCAUGUCUCAGUACAAGCCAAAUUAAGGUGAAACCGCGAAAGGCUCAUUAAAUCAGUUAUGGUUCCUUAGAUCGUACCAACAUUUACUUGGAUAACUGUGGUAAUUCUAGAGCUAAUACAUGCAAACAGAGCUCCGACCGGAGACGGAAGGAGCGCUUUUAUUAGAUCAAAACCAAUCGGCGGCGUGCUCGCUUGCGGGCACGUCGUCGUUCGCAUUGACGAAUCUGAAUAACUUUCUGCUGAUCGCACGGUCUCGCACCGGCGACGCAUCUUUCAAAUGUCUGCCUUAUCAACUGUCGAUGGUAGGUUCUGUGCCUACCAUGGUUGUAACGGGUAACGGGGAAUCAGGGUUCGAUUCCGGAGAGGGAGCCUGAGAAACGGCUACCACAUCCAAGGAAGGCAGCAGGCGCGCAAAUUACCCACUCCCGGCACGGGGAGGUAGUGACGAAAAAUAACGAUACGGGACUCAUCCGAGGCCCCGUAAUCGGAAUGAGAACAAUUUAAAUCCUUUAACGAGGAUCAAUUGGAGGGCAAGUCUGGUGCCAGCAGCCGCGGUAAUUCCAGCUCCAAUAGCGUAUAUUAAAGUUGUUGCGGUUAAAAAGCUCGUAGUCGAAUCUGUGUCCCGCGCCGCCGGUUCGUCGCUCGCGGCGUUUAACUGGCGUGUCCGCGGGACGUCCUGCCGGUGGGCUUAGACCUCUCGCGAGGUCGGCCCAAUCAUAAUCCCGCCGCGGUGCUCUUCACCGAGUGUCGAGGCGGGCCGGCACGUUUACUUUGAACAAAUUAGAGUGCUUAAAGCAGGCUAAAACUUCGCCUGAAUACUUCGUGCAUGGAAUAAUGGAAUAGGACCUCGGUUCUAUUUUGUUGGUUUUCGGAACCCCGAGGUAAUGAUUAAUAGGAACGGAUGGGGGCAUUCGUAUUGCGACGUUAGAGGUGAAAUUCUUGGAUCGUCGCAAGACGGACAGAAGCGAAAGCAUUUGCCAAAAACGUUUUCAUUGAUCAAGAACGAAAGUUAGAGGUUCGAAGGCGAUCAGAUACCGCCCUAGUUCUAACCAUAAACGAUGCCAGCUAGCGAUCCGCCGACGUUCCUCCGAUGACUCGGCGGGCAGCUUCCGGGAAACCAAAGCUUUUGGGUUCCGGGGGAAGUAUGGUUGCAAAGCUGAAACUUAAAGGAAUUGACGGAAGGGCACCACCAGGAGUGGAGCCUGCGGCUUAAUUUGACUCAACACGGGAAACCUCACCAGGCCCGGACACCGGAAGGAUUGACAGAUUGAGAGCUCUUUCUUGAUUCGGUG
RNAcentral lists this ribosomal RNA (1348 nucleotides) under Macrolycus oreophilus. RNAcentral describes it as "SSU rRNA". It matches the Rfam family "Eukaryotic small subunit ribosomal RNA", at positions 1 to 1272 of the family's 1831-position model. Lineage: Eukaryota; Metazoa; Arthropoda; Insecta; Coleoptera; Lycidae. The record is from RNAcentral.